RNAcentral lists this ribosomal RNA (305 nucleotides) under uncultured bacterium. RNAcentral's name for it is "bacterial SSU rRNA". It matches the Rfam family "Bacterial small subunit ribosomal RNA", at positions 337 to 635 of the family's 1533-position model. The record is from RNAcentral.
GCCUACGGGGCGCAGCAGUAGGGAAUUUUCGUCAAUGGGCGCAAGCCUGAACGAGCAAUGCCGCGUGAACGAGGAAGGUCUUCGGAUCGUAAAGUUCUGUUGAAGGGGAAAAAGAGCGGAGAGAGGAAAUGGUCUCCGAUUGAUAUUACCCUUCGAGGAAGUCACGGCUAACUCCGUGCCAGCAGCCGCGGUAAUACGGAGGAUGCGAGCGUUAUCCGGAUUUAUUGGGUUUAAAGGGUGCGCAGGCGGACCAUCAAGUCAGCGGUAAAAUCGUGGGGCCCAACCCCAUCCCGCCGUUGAAACUG